Molecule: unclassified non-coding RNA, 332 nt
Filed under: soil metagenome
Description: partial contains 5.8S ribosomal RNA, internal transcribed spacer 2, and large subunit ribosomal RNA
Rfam family: 5.8S ribosomal RNA (bases 1-120)
Source: RNAcentral
GAUGAAGAACGUAGCAAAAUGCGAUAAGUAAUGUGAAUUGCAGAAUUCAGUGAAUCAUCGAAUCUUUGAACGCACAUUGCGCCCGCCAGUAUUCUGGCGGGCAUGCCUGUUCGAGCGUCAUUUCAACCCUCAAGCACAGCUUGGUGUUGGGACUCGCGUUAAUUCGCGUUCCCCAAAUUGAUUGGUGGUCACGUCGAGCUUCCAUAGCGUAGUAGUAAAACCCUCGUUACUGGUAAUCGUCGCGGCCACGCCGUUAAACCCCAACUUCUGAAUGUUGACCUCGGAUCAGGUAGGAAUACCCGCUGAACUUAAGCAUAUCAAUAAGCGGAGGA